GAUGGAAGGAGCUGAUAUAUGACUGAAGAGAUAGAUGGAGCCCAGUCAAGGGAUUGACCUGGACUUGCUAUGGGUGGAAAUAAAUCCAGGAACAAGCUUCCCGCAGGAAGCAUAAUUGUGCUCUGCCUCUACAGCUGCAAAGCAACCAGCUCUCACUCCUCGUGGAGAUGUCUUCUCAGUCCGAUGGCUCUGCAUAUGAAGCCUGCUUACAUACAGACACACGAUAUUUCAUCUCAUGGAAGGUACCAUUAGUGAAGUGGCAUCAGGAUUUUAUGUAUCACAAAGAGAAAAACUGACCAUUAAGCAAUACAUUCCAUUCUACCACUUCGAAUUUUUUAAUGCUUAUUGAAUAAAAUUGUUUCUUUCAGACAUACAUGUUUAUGACAUGUCACUCUUUUGUAUACAUAAAAAGGAAAAUAAAUUGGCUAAUAUAUAUCUUUAAAAUUUACAUUUAGAGUCUAUUUUGAAUCACACUUUGACUCAGAGUUAUGUAGCUACAUGAUUUUUUUAAAAAAUUUCCUCCUUGCCAUCAAGAUAUAGCUUCAGUUUCAUAUUAUUCUGGAAUUUUCUUCCAAGCUGAAGACAUCCAGUCUGUUAUCAUUCUGUCUUUUAGAAGACACAAAAGGAAGAUUUUAGACAACAACCAGGACUUUUAAAUUUAUUCUUCCCUAGAUGGUCCUUAAUAGCUUAUUGAUAGAAACAUCAAGAGAUGCAGUGGCCUGGUCUUGCCACCCAGAAUAACCCAAGUUCAUGCAUGUGCAGGCACUAGUAACUCUGUCACGACUGCCACUUGGCCAGCAGCAGCUGUAACUGCCAUGGAUUGUGAAAUACGCCCUCAGUAAAAAGAUGUUAAAUGUGAACGGAAAGUACACUUUAGCAUCAAUAAAAUACAAUAGCCAUACUCUUUAGUACCAGCUUCAUCACUAAUAAAAGUGAUGUUCAGUGUCUCAUCUGCUUUAUCAUUUAGUUGUGUUUUUCAAUUUGCUCAAAAUUUGGAGAGGAAGGAUGGCUACCAUUUA
RNAcentral lists this long non-coding RNA (1019 nucleotides) under Callithrix jacchus (white-tufted-ear marmoset). Its description in RNAcentral is "lncRNA (ENSCJAG00000084512.1)". Lineage: Eukaryota; Metazoa; Chordata; Mammalia; Primates; Cebidae. The record is from RNAcentral.